Molecule: ribosomal RNA, 253 nt
Filed under: uncultured bacterium
Lineage: Bacteria
Description: partial 16S ribosomal RNA
Rfam family: Bacterial small subunit ribosomal RNA
Source: RNAcentral
UACAGGGGGGGCAAGCGUUGUUCGGAAUUACUGGGCGUAAAGGGCUCGUAGGCGGCCAACUAAGUCCGACGUGAAAUCCCAAAGCUUAACUUUGGAACUGCGUCGGAUACUGGAUGGCUUGAAUUCGGGAGAGGGAUGCAGAAUUCCAGGUGUAGCGGUGAAAUGCGUAGAUAUCUGGAGGAACACCGGUGGCGAAGGCGGCAUCCUGGACCGAUAUUGACGCUGAGGCGCGAAAGCCAGGGGAGCAAACGGG